This 896-nucleotide ribosomal RNA is filed under the name Onnia tomentosa. Its description in RNAcentral is "LSU rRNA". It matches the Rfam family "Eukaryotic large subunit ribosomal RNA", at positions 65 to 946 of the family's 3401-position model. The record is from RNAcentral. Lineage: Eukaryota; Fungi; Basidiomycota; Agaricomycetes; Hymenochaetales; Hymenochaetaceae.
CUAACAGGAUCCCUAGUACUGCGAGUGAAGCGGGAAGAGCUCAAAUUUAAAAUCUGGCGGUCUUCUGGCCGUCCGAGUUGUAAUCUGGAGAAGUGUUUUCCGCGUCGGACCGUGUACAAGUCUCCUGGAACGGAGCGUCAUAGAGGGUGAGAAUCCCGUCCAUGACACGGACCACCGAUGCUUUGUGAUACGCUCUCGAAGAGUCGAGUUGUUUGGGAAUGCAGCUCAAAAUGGGUGGUAAAUUCCAUCUAAAGCUAAAUAUUGGCGAGAGACCGAUAGCGAACAAGUACCGUGAGGGAAAGAUGAAAAGCACUUUGGAAAGAGAGUUAAACAGUACGUGAAAUUGUUGAAAGGGAAACGCUUGAAGUCAGUCGCGUCUCACGGAACUCAGCCUUACUUCGGUUUGGUGUACUUUCUGUGUGGACGGGUCAACGUCAAUUUUGGUCGGCGGAGAAAGGUUGAGGGAAUGUGGCGUUGUUUCGGCGACGUGUUAUAGCCCUCUUCCGCAUACGUCGGCUGGGAUUGAGGACCGCAGCGUGCCUUUAAUGGCCGGGGGUUCGCCCUACGUACCGCGCUUAGGAUGUGGCAUAAUGGCUUUAAGCGACCCGUCUUGAAACACGGACAAGGAGUCUAACAUGCUUGCGAGUGUCGGGUGGAAACCCUUGCGCGUAAUGAAGUGAAAGUGGGAGCCUCCGCAAGGGGGUGCACCGACGCUCGGCCCUGAAGUUCUCUGACGGUGCUGCGGUAGAGCACGUAUGUUGGGACCGAAAGAUGGUGAACUAUGCUGAAUAGGGCGAAGCCAGAGAACUUCUGGUGGAGGCUCCGUAGCGAUUCUGACGUGCAAAUCGAUUGUCAAAUUCGGGUAUAGGGGCGCGAGGCAUUAGUCGACCCAUUCA